Molecule: ribosomal RNA, 577 nt
Filed under: Diaphorina citri (Asian citrus psyllid)
Lineage: Eukaryota; Metazoa; Arthropoda; Insecta; Hemiptera; Psyllidae
Description: partial 16S ribosomal RNA
Source: RNAcentral
GGACAUACCAAAAAUAUUUUUUCUCCCAGAAAUGUUUUUGAUAAACAGUCGAAAAUUAAAUUUGCCGAAUUCUUAAUUAUUAUUUUUUUUAAUUUACUAAUUUAAUCAUAAUUAUUUCAAUUUUAUUAUUCAAUUAAACAACUUUACCUCCCCUUAAAGCUAUCUAAUAAAAUAUUAAAUUAAUUUAAUUAAUUACUACAAAUUAAAAUGAUUACUAAUAUUAAGUAUACUACACAAAUGAAACCUUUACCUAAAAAAUUAUAUACAAGAUUAUCCCUGCACAAAUAUAAAAAUUAAACAAAAUAAAUUCAAUUGAUUAAAUCAAAAAUAAAGCAACUAGAUAUAAAAAAUCUAAAUUUAUAUCAAACCCACAUUACUUUUAACUUAUUUUUUUACACAAAUAAAAUUAAGUAAUAUAAAUAUUUUUUAUUCGAGAAAAAAUUCUAAAAUAUAUAUUUAAAUUAACCCUGAUACAAAAGGUAAAAUUAUUUAAUCUUCUAUUCUUUUAUACUUCUACCCUUACAGUUAACAAAAAAAAUUAUUUCACUAAUCCAUUAAUUUAAAUUAAAUAAAAAGU